GAUGAACGCUGGCGGCGUGCCUAAUACAUGCAAGUCGAGCGAACAGACGAGGAGCUUGCUCCUCUGACGUUAGCGGCGGACGGGUGAGUAACACGUGGAUAACCUACCUAUAAGACUGGGAUAACUUCGGGAAACCGGUGCUAAUACCGGAUAAUAUCUUGAACCGCAUGGUUCAAUAGUGAAAGACGGUUUUGCUGUCCCUUAUAGAUGGAUCCGCGCCGCAUUAGCUAGUUGGUAGGGUAACGGCUUACCAAGGCCACGAUGCGUAGCCGACCUGAGAGGGUGAACGGCCACACUGGGACUGAGACGCGGUACAGACUCCGACGGGAGGCAGCAGUAGGGAAUCUUCCGAAAUGGGCGGAAGCCUGACGGAGCAACGCCGCGUGGGUGAUGAAGGUCUUCGGAUCGUAAAACUCUGUUAUUAGGGAAGAACAAAUGUGUAAGUAACUAUGCACGUCUUGACGGUACCUAAUCAGAAAGCAACGGCUAACUACGUG
RNAcentral lists this ribosomal RNA (497 nucleotides) under uncultured bacterium. RNAcentral's name for it is "partial 16S ribosomal RNA". It matches the Rfam family "Bacterial small subunit ribosomal RNA", at positions 28 to 507 of the family's 1533-position model. The record is from RNAcentral.